This is a long non-coding RNA of Choloepus didactylus (southern two-toed sloth), 775 nucleotides long. RefSeq lists it as uncharacterized. The transcript is spliced from 5 exons. The record is from RefSeq and is a predicted model, not a curated record. Lineage: Eukaryota; Metazoa; Chordata; Mammalia; Pilosa; Megalonychidae.
UGACUGAACUCAUGCUCACCAGAGCUCACUUUCACUGCUGGGCCAUUUUCAUGGAUGGGAAAGGGCAUUUCUCACCCAGUUCAACUGUGGCCUACUUCACCAUGUAAAGUUGCAGCAUCUGACUUUGCUGAAGAGGAGGAGGAAACUUUUGGAUUAUUGAUAAUGUGAGAAAGCCUGAGCAGAAGGAUUGCUUUUCAGUCCAAGUUACUGAGACUGUGAAGUAGAAACAGAUUUACCUGCCAGAAUGUGGAAUUUUGCAAUCCUUCUGUCUACUUGAGAAUGACUAAAGAGGGCCGUCGAUUAGAAGCAUUGAAGAGUAUGGAAUGCAUGGAAUCAAAGGGACAACAGGUGAAGAAUACAACAAAGGAACUUCUUCAUGAAGUGGGGUCGGAGGACAGGCUGCUCCGUUCUGCACAGAGGGAAAGACCAUGAAAAGUCCUGAAAUAUCCAAAUGUAAACUCCAAAUGUUGGUCUGUGACUACUUGCUGACUAGGAACGGAAACCCAAAUCAAACAAGAUUCUAGAAAGAUUUUCCAAUCCUUAAGGACAAUAGAGAAAAAAACAUCAACCUUUCUCUACUCAGCAAAGACAAGUUUAAACAGAUCUUGGGUUCAACAGGAGAUUCAUUUUCCAUGGCAAAGAAUCCAAGCACUGGAAUAAGUCAGAGGUAUCAUUUGCUGAAUAUUUUUGUAAAGACAGUUCAAUUUCAGGCCCUUUAUUUGCAAGAGCGCUGGCUAACCCAAAUAAAACAUUAUACAUCUGUCUGUUGUUACGA